RNAcentral lists this long non-coding RNA (648 nucleotides) under Pan troglodytes (chimpanzee). RNAcentral's name for it is "lincRNA". Lineage: Eukaryota; Metazoa; Chordata; Mammalia; Primates; Hominidae. RNAcentral also lists the same sequence under 1 other name. The record is from RNAcentral.
UGGAGACACAGCUGGGCUGAACAAGAUUUGCUUCAAACGACAACAAGAGAGACAGAAAGUAUCUGGUUCAACCGCUGCCCGAGCAGGCAGGCACCAGAAGAGCUAGCAGCCAAUCCGGCCAUGCUCGAAGCCAGCUCUGCAGCUCAGCCAAUCAGUGACAUCAUUGCUUUCUUUAGCUUGCCCAUGGUGAUGUGAAGAUGAGAAGAAAUAGCAAGGCCCAACCAGUUCUUCAUCUGGAGACAGUUCAACGUUCUGCAAACCAGAUCUUCAGGAAUUUUACUGGGAUAAUUAUCCAAAUAAAUUGCAAGCAUUCUAUCCAAAUGGAGCUCUUUCUGAGAUGAAGAGAAUUCUCAAUGUCAAGAUUUGAACAAGAAGAGAAUGGAAUACACAAUAUGGACAUCCAUAAAAAUUCAUCAGAGAGCAUUUUACUACUGAGCUGCAAAGGGAAAAACUUAAAAUGGAUAUGAAAAGUGAAGAAAGUGAUCAUAGGAGAAAACCAUUUCAGAUGACAAGAGCACCUCAAAGGCAGCAGCCUCAAGGAGCAGCCAUGGCCCCAGACUUGUCGCACGGAUGCAGAAAACUUAAUGGAGGAGGCUGAGGUCAGAAUGGGAAGAGUUUUUAAAAAAUAAAAAGGGGAGCUAAUAUGUG